UGGGGAAUAUUGCACAAUGGGGGAAACCCUGAUGCAGCGACGCCGCGUGGAGGAAGAAGGUCUUCGGAUUGUAAACUCCUGUUGUUGGGGAAGAUAAUGACGGUACCCAACAAGGAAGUGACGGCUAACUACGUGCCAGCAGCCGCGGUAAAACGUAGGUCACAAGCGUUGUCCGGAAUUACUGGGUGUAAAGGGAGCGCAGGCGGGAAGACAAGUUGGAAGUGAAAUCUAUGGGCUCAACCCAUAAACUGCUUUCAAAACUGUUUUUCUUGAGUAGUGCAGAGGUAGGCGGAAUUCCCGGUGUAGCGGUGGAAUGCGUAGAUAUCGGGAGGAACACCAGUGGCGAAGGCGGCCUACUGGGCACCAACUGACGCUGAGGCUCGAAAGUGUGGGUAGCAAACAGGAUUAGAUACCCUGGUAGUCCACGCUGUAAACGAUGAAUACUAGGUGUGCGGGGACUGACCCCCUGCGUGCCGCAGCUAACGCAAUAAGUAUUCCACCUGGGGAGUACGAUCGCAAGGUUGAAACUCAAAGGAAUUGACGGGGGCCCGCACAAGCAGUGGAGUAUGUGGUUUAAUUCGACGCAACGCGAAGAACCUUACCAAGUCUUGACAUCCCUUGACGAACAUAGAAAUAUGUUUUCUCUUCGGAGCAAGGAGACAGGUGGUGCAUGGUUGUCGUCAGCUCGUGUCGUGAGAUGUUGGGUUAAGUCCCGCAACGAGCGCAACCCUUAUGGUCAGUUACUACGCAAGAGGACUCUGGCCAGACUGCCGUUGACAAAACGGAGGAAGGUGGGGAUGACGUCAAAUCAUCAUGCCCUUUAUGACUUGGGCUACACACGUACUACAAUGGCGUUAAACAAAGAGAAGCAAGACCGCGAGGUGGAGCAAAACUCAGAAACAACGUCCCAGUUCGGACUGCAGGCUGCAACUCGCCUGCACGAAGUCGGAAUUGCUAGUAAUCGCAGAUCAGCAUGCUGCGGUGAAUACGUUCCC
This 995-nucleotide ribosomal RNA is filed under the name uncultured bacterium. Its description in RNAcentral is "bacterial SSU rRNA". It matches the Rfam family "Bacterial small subunit ribosomal RNA", at positions 355 to 1375 of the family's 1533-position model. The record is from RNAcentral.